This 110-nucleotide signal recognition particle RNA is filed under the name Sulfuricurvum kujiense DSM 16994. Its description in RNAcentral is "RNA component of signal recognition particle". The stretch from base 5 to 102 matches the Rfam family "Bacterial small signal recognition particle RNA". Rfam says of the family: The signal recognition particle (SRP) is a universally conserved ribonucleoprotein involved in the co-translational targeting of proteins to membranes. Archaeal SRP consists of a 7S RNA and homologues of the eukaryotic SRP19 and SRP54 proteins. The record is from RNAcentral. Lineage: Bacteria; Pseudomonadati; Campylobacterota; Epsilonproteobacteria; Campylobacterales; Sulfurimonadaceae.
AACUCUUCUAGACCUGUGCAAGGGUGUGGACGGACAACGUGUCAGGGUAGGAAUACAGCAGCACACCCGUUCAUGUUUUGUGCCGCAGGUAUCUGGGAGAGCCACUUUUU